This 280-nucleotide ribosomal RNA is filed under the name uncultured bacterium. RNAcentral describes it as "partial 16S ribosomal RNA". It matches the Rfam family "Bacterial small subunit ribosomal RNA", at positions 75 to 348 of the family's 1533-position model. The record is from RNAcentral.
CUUGCUUUCUUUGCUGGCGACCGGCGCACGGGUGAGUAACACGUAUCCAACCUGCCCUUUACUCGGGGAUAGCCUUUCGAAAGAAAGAUUAAUACCCGAUAGCAUAAUGAUUCCGCAUGGUUUCAUUAUUAAAGGAUUUCGGUAAAGGAUGGGGAUGCGUUCCAUUAGGUUGUUGGUGAGGUAACGGCCCACCAAGCCUUCGAUGGAUAGGGGUUCUGAGAGGAAGGUCCCCCACAUUGGAACUGAGACACGGUCCAAACUCCUACGGGAGGGCAGCAUG